AAUGAGGUGCCUGACUAAAGGAUUAUCUUGAUAGGAUAAAUAAAGUAAUCAAUAUUACCCUCAUUA
RNAcentral lists this transfer RNA (66 nucleotides) under Ceracris hoffmanni. RNAcentral's name for it is "tRNA-Ile". The record is from RNAcentral. Lineage: Eukaryota; Metazoa; Arthropoda; Insecta; Orthoptera; Acrididae.